UCUUCCCAAGCAGGGUGAUACACCGUUUGCUAAACACCACCACUUCUCUCAUCUCAUCUUUCAAAAGACCUCAAUUAAGCAAUGAAAAGUCUGUAUUGAAAUUUUUGAAAAAUGUAUUGAAGAAAGGACCAAGGAAUAACACCUCCAGGACAGUAAACUGAUUUAAAAGAAAAUGGUCUUUCAUAUGAUUUAUAAAUAUCCAUGAGACUAAGGCCAAAUAAAGAAAGCAACUGUGAAA
This is a long non-coding RNA of Canis lupus familiaris (dog), 238 nucleotides long. RefSeq lists it as uncharacterized. NCBI's taxonomy places the organism in Eukaryota, Metazoa, Chordata, Mammalia, Carnivora, Canidae. The record is from RefSeq and is a predicted model, not a curated record. The transcript is spliced from 2 exons.